CACCGUGGACAUUUAAUCAAAGAAAACAGUAGGAUUCUGGUUGCCCCAUAUUCUUAUAAAUCUCCUUGAUGGAAUAUGAUGCAACCUUUGAAGACGUGAUUAUAAUAAAGAAUAUGUCAAAACAGGGAGGAAAUACUUCUGAUGAAAACAUCAAGUGAGAAGGAGGAUAUAAACGAUGCAAACCAAGAUGACCACAUUCUGAAACCAUGCACAGAAGAGAAUUACAUGAGCAAUCCCUGAAGGACGAGAGUGAUUUCGUUGGAAUGUGGGUUUGGCCUGAAUGAAGCCACCAGACAGCUGUCCUCUGGGAACACAAGAGACGGGACAAACGCCAUCCACUGCACAGGAUCGCACGCAAGCUGGGUCAGUUGGUCCGCUGCAGACCACAGUCCCGGAGCAGCCCCCCAUGUGUGAAGUAGCUUCCUGCCCUCAGCCUGCAAGUAUCCAAUUUGCCAUCAGAAAAGACGACUUCUAUUUUUUCUUUUGUAUUCUGAUAAACAUUGAAGAAUCUGGAGCUGUUAAAUUUAUCAUGGGGAAACUUCAGAACUAGUUUAUUUAGUGUUGUGGAACCUCUUGCUGUUUUCAAUACACGAAAAUAAUCAACUGUUUUGUAUAAUUAUUUUCAGUUUUCAUUUAGACAAGCACUGUAAUUAGAAUACAGUCUUAACCAUUUUUUAAAAAAAAGAGAAAAUACAAGGAAAGAAUGAAAACAAAGUUUGUGUAAAUGUGUAAGUGUGGAAGGGAAGAAGGAUUGAGGGAGGAGAGGGGAAUGGAGAAAAAAGAACUGAAUUUUAUGCACAGGUACAAGUCCCUAUUGAUAAAUGUAAUCAUUAUGUUUGACAAAUAUGUAUUAAUAAAAAGAAUAAAGUUUAAAAAUAAAUAAGUACAUUUUUAAAAAA
Cavia porcellus (domestic guinea pig) is the source of this 899-nucleotide long non-coding RNA. RefSeq lists it as uncharacterized. The transcript is spliced from 3 exons. The record is from RefSeq and is a predicted model, not a curated record. NCBI's taxonomy places the organism in Eukaryota, Metazoa, Chordata, Mammalia, Rodentia, Caviidae.